UACGUAGGGCGCAAGCGUUAUCCGGAAUUAUUGGGCGUAAAGAGCUCGUAGGCGGUUUGUCGCGUCUGCCGUGAAAGUCCGGGGCUCAACUCCGGAUCUGCGGUGGGUACGGGCAGACUAGAGUGAUGUAGGGGAGACUGGAAUUCCUGGUGUAGCGGUGAAAUGCGCAGAUGUCAGGAGGAGCACCGAUGGCGAAGGCAGGUCUCUGGGCAUUAACUGACGCUGAGGAGCGAAAGCAUGGGGAGCGAACAGG
RNAcentral lists this ribosomal RNA (253 nucleotides) under uncultured bacterium. RNAcentral describes it as "partial 16S ribosomal RNA". It matches the Rfam family "Bacterial small subunit ribosomal RNA", at positions 524 to 776 of the family's 1533-position model. The record is from RNAcentral.